Molecule: ribosomal RNA, 252 nt
Filed under: uncultured bacterium
Lineage: Bacteria
Description: partial 16S ribosomal RNA
Rfam family: Bacterial small subunit ribosomal RNA
Source: RNAcentral
UACGUAGGGGGCGAGCGUUGUCCGGAGUUACUGGGCGUAAAGCGCACGCAGGCGGUCUGCUAAGUUUGGGGUGACAGUUGUCGGCUUAACCGAGAAAGUGCCUCAAAGACUGACAGACUUGAGGGCCACAGAGGGACAUGGAACUCCAGGUGUAGUGGUGAAAUGCGUAGAUAUCUGGAAGAACACCAAAGGCGAAGGCAGUGUCCUGGGUGGUACCUGACGCUCAGGUGCGAAAGCUAGGGGAGCGAACGG